Onychostoma macrolepis is the source of this 1748-nucleotide long non-coding RNA. RefSeq lists it as uncharacterized. Lineage: Eukaryota; Metazoa; Chordata; Actinopteri; Cypriniformes; Cyprinidae. The record is from RefSeq and is a predicted model, not a curated record. The transcript is spliced from 3 exons.
CUUGUAAUUAAUGCUCUGCAUUUAUUCCAUCCAAAGUGCACGUGCACAGGCACAGCAGUGAACGCACACACGUAUUAUUAAAGGGGUCAUAUAAUGCCAUUUUUGUACAAGCUAAUAUGAUUCUUUAGGGUCUAAAUUGAAAGUUUGUAAUAUACUUUAAUUAAAAAUUCUCAUUAGUAUUGUAAGAAAACACUCAUUUUACCUGCUCAAAAACAGCUCUGUUUUCAGCACACAGUUUUAGUGCGUGUGUUUUUAAAUGCUAAUGAGCUUUGCUCGCCCCGCCCCUCUGUUCUGUGGGGCGUUUUUGACACAACACACGUGGAGUGUUGCCUUGACAACAGUUGAGGGUAUAUUUUGAAGAAUGGCAGCGGGAGUCUCUGAGGAUACUGUGCAACCUUAUCAAUUCGAACCGGAGUCGGACCCGGAACAGGAUGACGGCCCCGAAGAAGUUCGACAAUUAAGGCUCGAACGGGACGUUUCUGAAUGAUGGUGAUGUGAUUCUGGGGAGUUCUGUUGAUCCUGUGAUUGAGGGAGAUACUCUGACUCUACACUGUUUACAUCGAUCUACAAACUCCCCGAUCCUCAGAGCUGAUUUCUAUAAAGACAGAUCACUCGUCCAGAAUCAGACGACAGGAGAGAUGAACAUCACGACUGUCUCAAAGUCACAUGAGGGUUUCUACUCCUGUAAAACAGAGAGAGGACCGUCACCCAAGAGCUGGAUCUCAGUCAGAGUGUCAUGUUCAUCAACCCCGGCAGCACUCCUCCACCUGACUCCUAUAGCCAAACACAGCCCCAAAUCGUACUCCUGAUGGACUCGACGCAAAUUUGUUGAUGAAAGAAACUGUUCCCGAGAAGAAACGUCACGAAAAUAUGGUGCCCAAACACACAGAAGGCCCUGGAGCUCUUGUGUGAAGAGCAGCUGGGUUCCCCCAGCCAUAUUAUCAUCCACACCGGCACCAACCACCUGAGAGCCACAAGAAAGAGUAGCUACAGCUCUCGUUAAUGUAGCAGAGAAAGCAUCCUCCCACUUCCCCAACUCCAAAAUCAUCCUCUCCACCCGUGCUGUUAUGCUCUGAUUUCCACCCAGACACCAUCAGGCAUAUAAACGCAAGAGUGACUGUGCCCUUAAACCCAAUGUUUACCUGGCUCAACACCCCACCCUGAAUCUCGACAGCCUUUACGGCCAUGUCCAUCUCCACAGAAGGGCGGUUCCCAUCUUUGCCAAGACCCUAAAGGACAUCGCACUGAGCCGCAGCUCCAGCGCACUGCAGCGCCCCCGUGGACACCCCAUAGAGCCACUACAGGGACACGGCAGGCUCUAUGCGUCACCCUGGAACACACCGCAGCACCAGGCCUGCAGCUCCUUCACCCCAUCAUUCACAUGAACAUCAGCAGGAACAGCACCCAGGCAGCCAGAGCUACACCAAAGCAGCCAGCAGAUCACUCAAACACCAACACAGACGACAGCCGGCCCAGUCCAUCUCAAUCCAGAGACCUCAGAAACAUCACCUAAUGGGUUAGUGACUUAGUGGAAAAAGAAAGAAAGAUGUAUGUGUGUACAUAUGUAUCUAUAAAAAUAUUCUGUUCAAAUUAUUAACAUACGAUUAAAUAUUCAAGGAAAAUAUUCUGUUCAAAUAUUAAAAUACGAUUACAAAACUCUCAAAAAACCCACAAAAUCUUCGAAAAGUCAAAUUGGAUUUCUGCCCAAACACAGAACAUCUGACCACAUUUACAGUGAGGAAAAUAAG